GAGUUUGAUCGUGGCUCAGGAUGAACGCUGGCGGCGUGCCUAACACAUGCAAGUCGAGGGGCAUCAGUUUGGUUUGCUUGCAAACCAAAGAUGGCGACCGGCGCACGGGUGAGUAACACGUAUCCAACCUGCCGAUAACUCGGGGAUAACCCUUCGAAAGAAGGCCUAAUACCCGAUGGUAUAUCCCUUCCGCCUGGUUGGGAUAUUAAAGAACUUCGGUUAUCGAUGGGGAUGCGUUCCAUUAGCUUGUUGGCGGGUAACGCCCACCAAGGCUUCGAUGGAUAGGGGUUCUGAGA
Molecule: ribosomal RNA, 296 nt
Filed under: uncultured bacterium
Lineage: Bacteria
Description: partial 16S ribosomal RNA
Rfam family: Bacterial small subunit ribosomal RNA
Source: RNAcentral